UGGCCCGUUCUUGGGGCCCGAGUUGUAAUUUGUAGAGGAUGCUUCGGGCAAGACAGCGGUCUAAUUCGCUUGGAACAGUGAGUCACAGAGGGUGAGAGCCCCGUCUGGGAUCGCCUGCCGCGCCCGGGUGAAGCUCCUUCGACGAGUCGAGUUGUUUGGGAAUGCAGCUCUNAAUGGGUGGUAAAUUUCAUCUAAAGCUAAAUACCGGCCAGAGACCGAUAGCGCACAAGUAGAGUGAUCGAAAGAUGAAAAGCACUUUGAAAAGAGAGUUAAACAGUAUGUGAAAUUGUUGAAAGGGAAGCGCUUGCCAUCAGACUUGUGGGAGGCGGUUCCCCCGAUCAGACGAUCGGGCUACUCCACCUCCCUCGGGCCAGCAUCGGUUCGGGCGGCCGGUGAAAGAUCUCGGGAAUGUAUCUACCCUAGGGUCGACUUAUAGCCCGGGGUGCAAUGCGGCCCGCCCGGACUGAGGAACGCGCUUCGGCUCGGAUGUUGGCGUAAUGGUGGCAAGCGGCCCGUCUUGAAACACGGACCAAGGAGUCUAACAUCUGUGCGAGUGUUUGGGUGUCAAACCCGGGCGCGGAAUGAAAGUGAACGGAGGUAAGAACCCCCUCGUGGGGUGCACUAUCGACCGAUCCUGAAGUCUUCGGAUGGAUUUGAGUAAGAGCACAGCUGUUGGGACCCGAAAGAUGGUGAACUAUGCCUGAAUAGGGUGAAGCCAGAGGAAACUCUGGUGGAGGCUCGCAGCGGUUCUGACGUGCAAAUCGAUCGUCA
RNAcentral lists this ribosomal RNA (771 nucleotides) under Hydropunctaria sp. RNAcentral's name for it is "partial large subunit ribosomal RNA". It matches the Rfam family "Eukaryotic large subunit ribosomal RNA", at positions 122 to 907 of the family's 3401-position model. The record is from RNAcentral. Lineage: Eukaryota; Fungi; Ascomycota; Eurotiomycetes; Verrucariales; Verrucariaceae.